GAUGAACGCUGGCGGCGUGCCUAAUACAUGCAAGUCGAGCGAAUGGAUUAAGAGCUUGCUCUUAUGAAGUUAGCGGCGGACGGGUGAGUAACACGUGGGUAACCUGCCCAUAAGACUGGGAUAACUCCGGGAAACCGGGGCUAAUACCGGAUAACAUUUUGAACCGCAUGGAUCGAAAUUGAAAGGCGGCUUCGGCUGUCACUUAUGGAUGGACCCGCGUCGCAUUAGCUAGUUGGUGAGGUAACGGCUCACCAAGGCAACGAUGCGUAGCCGACCUGAGAGGGUGAUCGGCCACACUGGGACUGGGACACGGCCCAGAAUCCUACGGGAGGCAGCAGUAGGGAAUCUUCCGCAAUGGACGAAAGUCUGACGGAGCAACGCCGCGUGAGUGAUGAAGGCUUUCGGGUCGUAAAACUCUGUUGUUAGGGAAGAACAAGUGCUAGUUGAAUAAGCUGGCACCUUGACGGUACCUAACCAGAAAGCCACGGCUAACUACGUGCCAGCCGCCGCGGUAA
This 515-nucleotide ribosomal RNA is filed under the name uncultured bacterium. RNAcentral's name for it is "partial 16S ribosomal RNA". It matches the Rfam family "Bacterial small subunit ribosomal RNA", at positions 28 to 523 of the family's 1533-position model. The record is from RNAcentral.